UUGCGCAAUGGGGGAAACCCUGACGCAGCAACGCCGCGUGGGUGAUGAAGGUCUUCGGAUUGUAAAGCCCUGUUUUCUAGGACGAUAAUGACGGUACUAGAGGAGGAAGCCACGGCUAACUACGUGCCAGCAGCCGCGGUAAUACGUAGGUGGCGAGCGUUGUCCGGAUUUACUGGGCGUAAAGGGUGCGUAGGCGGAUGUUUAAGUGGGAUGUGAAAUCCCCGGGCUUAACCUGGGGGCUGCAUUCCAAACUGGAUAUCUAGAGUGCAGGAGAGGAAAGCGGAAUUCCUAGUGUAGCGGUGAAAUGCGUAGAGAUUAGGAAGAACACCAGUGGCGAAGGCGGCUUUCUGGACUGUAACUGACGCUGAGGCACGAAAGCGUGGGUAGCAAACAGGAUUAGAUACCCUGGUAGUCCACGCCGUAAACGAUGGAUACUAGGUGUAGGGGGUAUCAACUCCCCCUGUGCCGCAGUUAACACAAUAAGUAUCCCGCCUGGGGAGUACGGUCGCAAGAUUAAAACUCAAAGGAAUUGACGGGGGCCCGCACAAGCAGCGGAGCAUGUGGUUUAAUUCGAAGCAACGCGAAGAACCUUACCUGGACUUGACAUCCCUUGCAUAGCCUAGAGAUAGGUGAAGCCCUUUCGGGGCAAGGAGACAGGUGGUGCAUGGUGUCGU
Molecule: ribosomal RNA, 674 nt
Filed under: Clostridium botulinum
Lineage: Bacteria; Bacillati; Bacillota; Clostridia; Eubacteriales; Clostridiaceae
Description: bacterial SSU rRNA
Rfam family: Bacterial small subunit ribosomal RNA
Source: RNAcentral